This 465-nucleotide ribosomal RNA is filed under the name uncultured Klebsiella sp. Its description in RNAcentral is "bacterial SSU rRNA". It matches the Rfam family "Bacterial small subunit ribosomal RNA", at positions 338 to 795 of the family's 1533-position model. Lineage: Bacteria; Pseudomonadati; Pseudomonadota; Gammaproteobacteria; Enterobacterales; Enterobacteriaceae. The record is from RNAcentral.
CCUACGGGGGGCUGCAGUGGGGAAUAUUGCACAAUGGGCGCAAGCCUGAUGCAGCCAUGCCGCGUGUGUGAAGAAGGCCUUCGGGUUGUAAAGCACUUUCAGCGGGGAGGAAGGCGGUGAGGUUAAUAACCUCAUCGAUUGACGUUACCCGCAGAAGAAGCACCGGCUAACUCCGUGCCAGCAGCCGCGGUAAUACGGAGGGUGCAAGCGUUAAUCGGAAUUACUGGGCGUAAAGCGCACGCAGGCGGUCUGUCAAGUCGGAUGUGAAAUCCCCGGGCUCAACCUGGGAACUGCAUUCGAAACUGGCAGGCUAGAGUCUUGUAGAGGGGGGUAGAAUUCCAGGCGUAGCGGUGAAAUGCGUAGAGAUCUGGAGGAAUACCGGUGGCGAAGGCGGCCCCCUGGACAAAGACUGACGCUCAGGUGCGAAAGCGUGGGGAGCAAACAGGAUUAGAUACCCGUGUAGUC